Molecule: long non-coding RNA, 2496 nt
Organism: Gallus gallus (chicken)
Lineage: Eukaryota; Metazoa; Chordata; Aves; Galliformes; Phasianidae
Source: Ensembl
GUGCAAUUUGAAAGGAAAUGUCCUUGGAAGACGGAUUCCUCCAUCCGCUGUUUCAGCCCUUGUUUGUUUUCUGGUGGAAAUUAAUUUCUCAAAGGCCCUCCGUGUUGGAAAGGGCACGCUGAUAGGUGCAGGGAAAUAAGGAACUGGAAACAAGAUGCGCCUUAGCAGGCUGCAGGAUGGAACCUUCGUGCGUGCAGGUGGUGAGAAGUGACCUUCGGGAGGAACCCACGCUGAUGUGUUGAGUUUUGCUGGGACUCUUCAGUGCUCUUUGGGCUCUGAUACGUAAGUAAGGUGGUGCAGCCACGUGUGUCAGCUCACUGCUGAGCUCAGCGCUGGGGGCCCUGCUUUGGGUGAGUUCUGCUGUGGGAUGUGCCAAUGGGAAUGGAUUGAAGCGGCUCAAAGCGUUCCAUGGGAGCUCAGCCUGCAUGCCUUUCUCCCAGCAGGUUGGAUCUUGGAAGGUCCUUCCCCUGCUCUCCCCCACUGGAUUCAAACCAGGCAGUGAAGCCAGGUCUGUUCCUGGAGCCGUUGGAGGCUCACCGAUGUCUGUCUUCGGACCUCCCUGCUGAUAAAGAUUUAUGUGAUAGGAAUAAUUUGGUUGGGGUCAGGAUUUCUCCUCCAUGGAACCCAGGGCUACGUGGGGAGCUGCUGGGAUCCCAGCACAGCCUCUGUCCGGCUUCAGUUACAGCUUGAGCAGUGCAGCACAGGAGCGCUCUGAUUGCGAUCAUGCAGUCAUCGAAGGGGUCGUCCCCCAAAAGGAUGCUUUGAUUUUCGAUGUGACACCCAGGGCUGAGCAGCUCCGCUAGCCGAGUUUACGUGGGAUGUGAGUUUUCCCAUCGCUUUACUUCGGGACGUGCGGCGUGGAGCCCUGGGGCAAUGCCGGCACCUCCAGCUGCCCCCGCCCCCUGUGUUCUGCCCCUGCUGAGGGGGUCAGCCCCGAAGGUGAGGUGAUGGAGGGCUGUGGAUGGGCACGGCUCGGCGCUGGACAGAGGACCCACAGCUGCACUGAUGGCCAUCCCUGCCCCGGCCCCAACAGUGCCGCACGUGCAAUGCUGUGUGCUUUCCCGGGGGGCUGAAGGUGCUGAAUUAGGCACUAACGUAUUUUCCUGUUGGAUCACUGUUUGACUCAAGAAAAUAAGAAAGGGCUAUUACUGCCUUCUGACCCGUUGCUUUGACAUUUGAGUUUCAGUUUGCUUAGCGUCAUAACGUUGAGAAAUUCAAACAGCUCUCCAGCUCGCAGAAUUAUGAACGCCUCCAUUUGGCACUGGAAGAAACCAGCCCUGCAUUCUGGAUUUCCUUACGUUCGCAUUUUCCCCAGCCCAGCAGGGUCGUUUUCCCUUUGAGAACAAUACAGGGCUUGGCUCCCCACGCUGUGCCAUGGCUGCAGCAGCUCAGUGCAGGGCAGGGCAGGUUGGUUCAUCCCCAGGAAGGCUCUGCCAGACACGGGGGCUGUACAGCUGUCCCAGCCAUAUGCCCUGCCCUGCCCUGGGCUGCAGAGGGGCCCUCGCUUUGCACUGCUGCAUCUUUGCUGCUGCAGUCUGCACUGAGGAGCUGGAGUUGUUGAAGGGCUUUUCUACUGAUAAAUGGAUGGAAACCCGUAUUUUCAUCUCACGUCAUCAAACAUUCAUCAGAUACUCCUGAAUCAUUUGAGGAAAUAAUGUGUGAGGGGAAAAAAAAAUAUUACCUCCGGCAGUUGUGUUAUAACGGCUCUUGUGCUGACAGCCCUUUGGGAACGGUGGCAGCAGCAGGGCUGAAUGUUUUGGAGAAGAGAUCCUCAGAAGGAACACGGGAGGUGCGUUGGGACGCCUUCGCUCUGCACAGAGAUAAAGCCAGAGGGAUCCCACAUUCCGAACAAGGCAGAGCCUGAACUUGAACUGCGGGUUGUCCAAAGCUCAGGAGAGAGUUUAAAGAAGUGAGUUCCUCUUUGUGUCCUAAAAUCCUUUCUAACCGAAGUGCUCCUAUGCUGUGUUCUGGCAAAGCCCCGUUGGCUGUGGGUACGCACUCAGCUCCAGCCACAUCUGAGCCCCAGUGAUGAGCUUCGUUCUGCUUCUGCUGAAAUCGUGGGGCCUUCUGGAGUUCUUUCCAGAGCAAACAGGUCUCAGAAUGGUCAGCAAGAGCAGCCAAACCCUGAGCAGUGAAGUCCCAGAAAGAAUGAAUGUAAUGCUGGCCAACCUGACAGGUGUCUCUUAUUGCUUCCCUAUGGGAAGGAGGAGCCCGAGAUUUUGGAGCGCACUGCUCAGGAUGUUUGUGAGCACCUUUAAAGGUGAAAAUCCCAGCGUGCAAAAUCCCUGGAGUUCAGAUGAGUGUUCAAUAGGAGAUACCCCUGAAUCUCUUAAAUACUUCUGAUCACAUUCAGCCCGGAUUCAGCAAAGCAUGUGCUGUCUUUAGGGGGUGCUUAAAUCCCCUCCAUGCAGUGUGCAGCAGCUCAUCUCUCCCAGGCAGGUUCUGCUGCCCCUCACUGCACCCACAUUCAUCUCCCCAAAGUGGGCAGCACUUUGG